RNAcentral lists this ribosomal RNA (497 nucleotides) under uncultured bacterium. RNAcentral describes it as "partial 16S ribosomal RNA". It matches the Rfam family "Bacterial small subunit ribosomal RNA", at positions 28 to 507 of the family's 1533-position model. The record is from RNAcentral.
GAUGAACGCUGGCGGCGUGCCUAAUACAUGCAAGUCGAGCGAACGGACGAGAAGCUUGCUUCUCUGAUGUUAGCGGCGGACGGGUGAGUAACACGUGGAUAACCUACCUAUAAGACUGGGAUAACUUCGGGAAACCGGAGCUAAUACCGGAUAAUAUUUUGAACCGCAUGGUUCAAAAGUGAAAGACGGUCUUGCUGUCACUUAUAGAUGGAUCCGCGCUGCAUUAGCUAGUUGGUAAGGUAACGGCUUACCAAGGCAACGAUGCAUAGCCGACCUGAGAGGGUGAUCGGCCACACUGGAACUGAGACACGGUCCAGACUCCUACGGGAGGCAGCAGUAGGGAAUCUUCCGCAAUGGGCGAAAGCCUGACGGAGCAACGCCGCGUGAGUGAUGAAGGUCUUCGGAUCGUAAAACUCUGUUAUUAGGGAUGAACAUAUGUGUAAGUAACUGUGCACAUCUUGUCGGUACCUAAUCAGAAAGCCACGGCUAACUACGUG